Molecule: non-coding RNA, 74 nt
Organism: Phrynosoma platyrhinos (Desert horned lizard)
Lineage: Eukaryota; Metazoa; Chordata; Lepidosauria; Squamata; Phrynosomatidae
Source: the annotation of a GenBank genome assembly
GACCCAGUGUGGCAUAGUGGUUUGAGCAUUGGACUAUGAUUCUGGAGACCAGGGUUUGAAUCCUUGUUGAGGCA